Long non-coding RNA from Peromyscus eremicus (cactus mouse), 1554 nucleotides. RefSeq lists it as uncharacterized. NCBI's taxonomy places the organism in Eukaryota, Metazoa, Chordata, Mammalia, Rodentia, Cricetidae. The transcript is spliced from 2 exons. The record is from RefSeq and is a predicted model, not a curated record.
GUGAAGAGAUGGCUCAGCAAUUAAGAGCGUUUGCUGCUCUUACAGAGUACCUGGGGUGGAUUCCCAGCACCUACAAUCUACACGGAGGCUCAUAAAUCCGUAACUCCGGUUUCGGGGCACACACGUGGUGGGCCUACAUACAUGCAGGCAAAACCCUCACACGCAAAGCUUUAACAGAAAUUUUAAAAAUUAAAGAACAAAAUAAAACAAGUAACUGUAUGGAUGUAGGAAACGAUUCCCAGAAGCCAUGGGUUAUUAAAUGAAAAUCCUAGUGCCAUCAGUGGGCUACCUCCCUACAAGGUGGUGUGUCCCUUACAGCGUCGAUACUGUGACUACCAUAGAGCAACUCCUGUGUGUAGUGCUCCGGAGGGCCAGAAGAGGGCGACGGAUCCUCUGGAACUGGAGCAGACAGCUGUGAGCGGCCAGCUCUAGAAAGGUAACCAUGGCUCAUGAUUCUUCUGCCACCGCAACAUCCAGUGCUCUCUUUUGUUGCCAUGAGCGCAGCUGCUUAACCAAUGUUGGUGCCGUUCAGACUUGAAUAGAUCAACGAGGACCUGCUGCCACUUGCUGCCUCCUCCCCCAUCCAGCGAGACCGCGAGACCCCCACACAGCUACCACUACUGCUACCGCCAUGAUUCUUCACCACAGUGAGUGAGUCCACUGCCGUUCUCGCGGCUGUAGUCUGAGCUAUAUUCUUUGCAAUGGACACCCCGGGGGUUGUCCUCGGGCUGUGCUGGCAAUGGCAGGCACAUUUUCACUCCUGACGAGGGGGUCAAUGCUUUCUCGGGUCCAUUUUGGACCAACUGCAGCACAGCUGCAGCCCUUCCCAUCCCUUGACAAAGAGGAUGGGUAAGGUGAGCUGAUUCAUAGAUCUCUCUCCACUCUCAGGGACGCCUGAGAUUGGAGUCUGAUCCCGGUUUGUUAUUUUAAUUUUUUUAUUUUUCUCUCAGCUACAGCCAUGGGACAAAGGGACGGAUACAUUUACCACUUACAUUGGCGGAUAGGGGCAGGUACCAGUAAAUCUGGCCACAUAACGGCUUCUCAGAAACUUCUGUCAGUGAACGGGCAAAUAAAUGAGUUACUUUAUCCCCAAGCUUUCUGCUAAAGCUCUAAACCCUUCUCCCUCCCCACUUCUGCAUCUGCCACAUGCAACCUUUUCUGUCUGACUUCCGCCAGCAGUGGGAGGGCUCAAAUGGGCGGGCUUGGGCGGCUUCUAUGACUCUCGCCCUAACUCACCUUAACUCCACCCACUCAUUCUCGAACUGCCUUGGGAGACACAGACACACAGAUGAUCUGGAAGCGGCUAAGAUCCAUACGAAUAAGUUUACAUAGUCAAGAGGGCUCUUAAGCCAAAAAUCAGCCUAUAUCCUCAGACAAGUCUUCCAAAAAGAUUGGUUUAUAGUCUGCCUCCUGGUAGAUCUUCCAAAAGCUGUCCUUAAGCCAUCAAUCAUCAGGAAAAAAAAAAAAAAAUUCAGGACACAGAGUAAAAUCUGUCUCUUGUUCCCCAGACCUCCCUGACUAAAACUUAAACAUCUAGAGAGCAAGGCUCCUAAC